UGGAGGUUUGUAAGACACCAGGAGACCAAAGGAAGCAUACCCAAACAGAAGUGUCUGAAUGAACCAGUGGAACUGAACUGCUGGGUCAGUGAUGCCUUUAGACUGGCAUAAUUUUAUACCGUACAAGGCUUCUACUAUGUGAAUCAACCAGGAUACAUAGAACCCAUAGCACACCCACUUGUGGUAGUUGUCCACUAAAUAACGAAGGAAGUCACCGAACAGUCCCAAAUAGCUAUAAGGGAUGGUUGAAGGUGACAGUGUUACCCAGCCUAGCAGGAUCAUGCCGAGGAUGAUGCCGAUCAUCCAGAUGAGCCGCGAGCGCUGGAAGUGGCAGCUGCCAUCGCGCACCCGCUCCGCACCCGUCAUCCUGCCGCCAACCGCCGAGCCGCGCGCCGCCGCCGGAGGUAAACUGCCGCGCGGGGGGUG
Molecule: long non-coding RNA, 426 nt
Filed under: Gallus gallus (chicken)
Lineage: Eukaryota; Metazoa; Chordata; Aves; Galliformes; Phasianidae
Source: RNAcentral